UUGCUUCUCUUGAGAGCGGCGGACGGGUGAGUAAUGCCUAGUGAUAGUCUGCCUGGUUGAGGUGAGAGUGAGAAUAUAUCCGUGUACAGGAAACGGCAUCGCUUAAUACCGCAUACGUCCUACGGGAGAAAGCAGGGGACCUUCGGGCCUUGCGCUAUCAGAUGAGCCUAGGUCGGAUUAGCUAGUUGGUGAGGUAAUGGCUCACCAAGGCGACGAUCCGUAACUGGUCUGAGAGGAUGAUCAGUCACACUGGAACUGAGACACGGUCCAGACUCCUACGGGAGGCAGCAGUGGGGAAUAUUGGACAAUGGGCGAAAGCCUGAUCCAGCCAUGCCGCGUGUGUGAAGAAGGUCUUCGGAUUGUAAAGCACUUUAAGUUGGGAGGAAGGGCAGUUACCUAAUACGUGAUUGUUUUGACGUUACCGACAGAAUAAGCACCGGCUAACUCUGUGCCAGCAGCCGCGGUAAUACAGAGGGUGCAAGCGUUAAUCGGAAUUACUGGGCGUAAAGCGCGCGUAGGUGGUUAGUUAAGUUGGAUGUGAAAUCCCCGGGCUCAACCUGGGAACUGCAUUCAAAACUGACUGACUAGAGUAUGGUAGAGGGUGGUGGAAUUUCCUGUGUAGC
This 623-nucleotide ribosomal RNA is filed under the name Pseudomonas sp. RNAcentral describes it as "bacterial SSU rRNA". It matches the Rfam family "Bacterial small subunit ribosomal RNA", at positions 80 to 679 of the family's 1533-position model. The record is from RNAcentral. Lineage: Bacteria; Pseudomonadati; Pseudomonadota; Gammaproteobacteria; Pseudomonadales; Pseudomonadaceae.